Molecule: long non-coding RNA, 428 nt
Filed under: Cyanistes caeruleus (blue tit)
Lineage: Eukaryota; Metazoa; Chordata; Aves; Passeriformes; Paridae
Description: lncRNA (ENSCCEG00000020151.1)
Source: RNAcentral
GUUUUUUGCCCAAGCAGUAGGAUGCAACCCACUGUCUCUAAAACACCUGUAUCUGCAGAGCUGGCUUUCAGGACACUCAAUUAGAAUAGAAAGAGAUAUCAGAGACCACCCAAUUCAUAUGUUCUAACAAUCAGCAAAAGAAACCAUACAAGGCUAGAAGAAUAGCAGUACUAAGUGCUCACACAUGUUGGGGUGCUGAACAGUAAAGGAGGAAUUGCAGUCCCUUGCAGGGGAGAAGAGGCUUCUCAUCUUUACCUCGCAACACGUCCAGAAGUGGUUACAUUCCCUGGAUCUUCAGUGGGAAAUUGGACACUAAAACAUCAAGGCAGAAAGAAAAAAAAUAUCUAGAAAUACAUAGCAAGUGUGAUGCUAUGUCUGAUUCAGGGAAGAUAAUCUCCAAAUCAGGUGUCAUUAGAAUAUUCAAGAUC